UCAUUACCGAGUGCGGGUUCGAACGAGCCCAACCUCCCACCCGUGUUUACUGUUACCGCGUUGCCUCGGCGGGCCCACUGGGGCCUGGCCCCGGUCGCCGGGGGGCUUCUGCCCCCGGGCCCGCGCCCGCCGAAGCACCCUAGAACCCUGCCUGAACAGUGAGUCUGAGUGAGAUUUUAAAUCAUUAAAACUUUCAACAACGGAUCUCUUGGUUCCGGCAUCGAUGAAGAACGCAGCGAAAUGCGAUAAGUAAUGUGAAUUGCAGAAUUCCGUGAAUCAUCGAAUCUUUGAACGCACAUUGCGCCCCCUGGCAUUCCGGGGGGCAUGCCUGUCCGAGCGUCAUUUCUGCCCUCCAGCACGGCUGGGUGUUGGGCGCUGUCCCCCCGGGGACACGCCCCAAAAGCAGUGGCGGCGCCGCGUCGGGUCCUCGAGCGUAUGGGGCUCUGUCACCCGCUCGGGAGGGACUCGGUCGGCGCCGGUCUUCCCUUUAGGCCGCCCUUCGGGGUGCGCCUCUUCCGGUUGACCUCGGAUCAGGUAGGGCUACCCGCUGAACUUAAGCAUAUCAAUAAGCGGAGGAAAAGAAACCAACAGGGAUUGCCUCAGUA
Molecule: ribosomal RNA, 605 nt
Filed under: fungal sp.
Lineage: Eukaryota; Fungi
Description: eukaryotic LSU rRNA
Rfam family: 5.8S ribosomal RNA (bases 189-342)
Source: RNAcentral